RNAcentral lists this long non-coding RNA (584 nucleotides) under Phoenix dactylifera (date palm). Its description in RNAcentral is "long non-coding RNA (PDAC_LNC018351)". The record is from RNAcentral. Lineage: Eukaryota; Viridiplantae; Streptophyta; Magnoliopsida; Arecales; Arecaceae.
AAGGGAAGAGUGAACGCCAAACGUUUCAUGAUUUUAUUGAAUUUUUUGAACCGUUUGAUUUCAAUUAAAUCAGUACUAUAUUAAUGAGGUUUCAAAACCGAAGAGACACGUCUCUUCGGAUCUCCAAAUGGUAGCUGAAAGAGGGAAGAUCAAGCGGCCUUCAAUGUGUUCGGAAGAAGAAGAAGUAACGCGGUCCACGGGAGAAGUUUUUGCAGGAAAAAAUUGGUCCACUGGACCGAGGAAGAAACCAGAACCAACAAAAACCGUGUCAUCCAAUUAGAGGGGCAAACAAGUAAAUUUCCAAAUCAAAUUUGACUUUUCUUAAAUGGGUUAAUUCAAAUGGGCUGAAUCAAAUGGGCUUGGGUCCAUUAUUGGUUCUAAACCAAAUUGAAGACCAAUUUGAAAGAUUUUGGAUCCGAAAAAAUUCCACAUGAAUUUGAUUCAUGUGAACUCCAAUUAGUUCAAUUUUCAUAUCAAUCCAAGUCACACUUGGACUAGAAUAAAUAUGGAAUAAAUUCUAAUAAAAUCAUCAUUAAGCCCAAUUACAUUCAUUUGAAUCCAAUUCAAAACCAAACUCAACAAAU